Molecule: long non-coding RNA, 2726 nt
Filed under: Taeniopygia guttata (zebra finch)
Lineage: Eukaryota; Metazoa; Chordata; Aves; Passeriformes; Estrildidae
Description: lncRNA (ENSTGUG00000028811.1)
Source: RNAcentral
CCAUGUAUUUAAUGUUUCUUCAUUGCCAGGCUGCUAUGGGUUUCGUAUGAAUAAUAGGGCUGCACUUGGAAUCUUACUAGUGAGAGUUGUUCCUGAGAAUUCAUCAGUUCUUUAAUGGUAGUGUCCUGUCUUGUGUGUGAGCUCACUUGUGGGCAGAGUGACAUGUUUUUUCCAUUUCUCCAUUCACAUGGACUUUGGAUGUGCCACAGACUGUUAACAGCAUUCAUGGUCUUUGUGACCAGUGGAAUCCAUUCUUGCUUCCAGCUCCAGCCCCCUUAAUUCCUGAGAAUACAGCUGCUGAGAGCUUGUGCUGCCGAAAGAGGUAAGCCUUGGGCUGCCUAGUGUAAGGGAGACUCUCUUAACACUGCAUCCUGGAGAAGCCUGAGGGAUCUGACUUCUGGAGAGCUGACCUGGAUGCCUGGACCACCAACUGAACUGUCACUUCUCCCACAGGCAAGUCCCAACAUAAGUCACUUCCAGCAGGGUUUCAGUGCUUCCUUAUCGACUGCAGCUGCCCUUGAGCUGUGCUGGUGGUGCCUUUGUGUCCAGUUUCAAGUGAAAGGGACUUAACCACAGUGCAGGCAGCUUUGUUUAUCUGGACGUCCAAUUAUUGGGAUGCUCUCCUAGGAAUAGUGUGGGACUCAGAAAUGCUCCUCUUUAUUUGCAUGUCAGCAUAAAGUGCAGUCAGUUUCCAGUGAUAAUGUUAUUACAGAGCAAGGCCGAGAGAGUUGUAGCUCUGCCCAGGAUUUGUCUGGUGUCUCAUGACUGAAACACUCCAUAAUGUUGCUGGUUUCAGUGGAACUCCCUUGUGAAUGUAGAUGAGUCAUUAAGCUAUUAAUUAAUUGUCCUUUUUGCAUUAGAAAUGCCACAAGCUGUUGAAGUUUUCUUCCUUAUUCUUCGGUGUUGCUGUUUUGCUUUUUUUAAAAGCAUAUGCUUGUCUUGGGUUUGUUUUUUUUUCACUGAAAAAUUUUUCACUGGGUUUUUGGGUUUUUUUUGCCUGCAUAGUACUGUAAGGGAUAUUCCAGGCUGAGAAGAUGGGGCAGGUGAAGCUGUGGUAAAAAUUUAUCUAUUCCAGGAACCUUCUGUCACAUUUAAUUAAUAAUAACCAAACCUGUAUCUGGUAAACACUUGCUAAGAAAGCUGACAUUUAAAUCAAGGACUGUAACAAGUGAAAGGUCUGUGAAAUAAGGAGUAGUCUCCAGUGCUUACUGUGGGGACAUGCAUUGGUGGUAAAGAGUAUGGAAACAGGAGUUAAAGCUAGCAUAGUGUGUAUCAUCUUCCUUUGAUAAAAGCAUAGUGUUCUUUGAAGCUGUGUACAAGUGGAUCUAAUUUCUUGCAUAAUUGCCCAUAUCAGGAAUUUAACAUAGUCCUGUUACUGCAGUUGAGGUUAACAUCCCACUGUGGUGCAUUUUAAUGUGAACUGGGUCCUUUGCAGCUUCUUGCCAGGUUUAUUUACUGCAGUGGCUCAUCUUCAAAAGCAGCUGAAAUUUAUUCCUUGUGAACAUAGAUGUUGCUGGAGUACAACAGCCAGUCUGGAACUGGUUUGUUUCACUCCUCAUUUUGAGUGGAUAGAGUUUCUUUGUAUAUUUAAAAAAAAAUAUUUUGGAUGCCACAUGUUAUAGAUCUUAUGAUCCUAUCCUAGAGCUGCAAGUUUGGGACAGGUGGGUUUGUUAACAGUUACCUAAGGUUAAAUCCCUAAGAACUGAGCCCUGCUGACUGGGAGACUGAACACCAGAUACACCAGACAAGCAGUGAACAUGACUGCUGGUUAACUCAAUCUUGAGUUUGUAGUGUGAACUAAAGGGAGCAGUCUGCACUCAAUACAUACAGGAGAUAAUGCAAUAUAACUAGUAAAAGGGAGGUGUGGACUGUCAGGAUGGAUACAGUGAAAGGCUUCUAUGUUUUGGGUAGAAAUAAAAGAAGGCAUUAAAAUACCCUGCCUGCUACUAGUACUUGGGUUGAAUGUUGCAUUCUAUCAGUCCUGGUGUUCUACUUACAACCAUUAGACCACCCUCCAGUAUUAAGGUUUAUUUUGUGAUGACUGACCUCAUACCUCCAGCUACCUGCCACACUGCCUGCUCUUCCAGCUCAGUCACUGUAUUGCUUCUCUCUCACAUUAUGCAUCUGAUGCUGCUGUUUUAAAUGGCCAUCUUAUUCCUUAAAGAAUCACUUGUGACCUCUGAUAAUGAAUUCAAGGCAGAGGUGGGAAAAAAAGAUGGGGAUGAUGAUCAUGCCUGCAGGUGGCAGGCAGCUGCUGCUGAACAUGCAGGUACCUGCCUCAUGCCAGCACAGUAAGGAAUCCAGGGCAGCUGGAGAGCCUGGGAAGUAGGAAAAAGGUUUUGAAAAAACUGAAUGAACUGAUCCAUGUGAGUUACCUGCUGCUGGGCUCGCAGGUGAAAUUCAGGCUGAAUCUGGUCAAACAGUUUUCUGUGUGCAGGCUCUGCAUGGCUCAGGGUGUUAAAAAUGCUAUGCAGAACUUCUUGAAAGACAUGGAAGGGAAGUCAGCCCUGGUAGCAAAUUACCAGAACUUACAGCUUCAUUCUAAGGCUUUUUUCUUGGCAGAAUUAAGGAACUUGGGAUGAUAGGUUGUUUGCAGUAUUCUUCCUGUCCCCUCAUCUCCCUGUAAGAACUAACAACAAAAAAUCAGCUGGUGUCAUGAGAAAUGUUACAAGGGAGGUAAGUGUACACUGUCCAGGAAAGGUUAAAGAUAGAUCCUCACCCUCCUC